GACGAACGCUGGCGGCGUGCUUAACACAUGCAAGUCGAACGGUGAUGCUCCAGCUUGCUGGAGUGGAUCAGUGGCGAACGGGUGAGUAACACGUGAGCAACCUGCCCCAGACUCUGGAAUAAGCGCUGGAAACGGCGUCUAAUACUGGAUACGAAACUGGCCCGCAUGGGCAUGGUUUGGAAAGUUUUUCGGUUUGGGAUAGGCUCGCGGCCUAUCAGCUUGUUGGUGAGGUAAUGGCUCACCAAGGCGACGACGGGUAGCCGGCCUGAGAGGGCGACCGGCCACACUGGGACUGAGACACGGCCCAGACUCCUACGGGAGGCAGCAGUGGGGAAUAUUGCACAAUGGGCGAAAGCCUGAUGCAGCGACGCCGCGUGAGGGAUGACGGCCUUCGGGUUGUAAACCUCUUUCAGCAGGGAAGAAGCGAAAGUGACGGUACCUGCAGAAGAAGCACCGGCUAACUACGUG
RNAcentral lists this ribosomal RNA (468 nucleotides) under uncultured bacterium. Its description in RNAcentral is "partial 16S ribosomal RNA". It matches the Rfam family "Bacterial small subunit ribosomal RNA", at positions 28 to 507 of the family's 1533-position model. The record is from RNAcentral.